CUGCAGAAUCCGGAAUCUUGGAUUGUACUAAAGAAAAUUUCAAGAGAGUAUUUGAUGUGAAUGUGUAUGGUGCCUUCUUGGGUGCCAAGCAUGCCGCCAGGGUGAUGAUUCCAGCCAAGAAAGGCUGCAUACUAUUCACUGCAAGUCUUGCUUCAGUAUGUUGCGUGGAUUCCUCAUUGCAUGCCUAUACGACAUCAAAACAUGCAGUUGUGGGGCUAGCCAAGAACUUGUGCGUGGAGUUAGGACAGUAUGGGAUAAGGGUUAAUAGUAUUUCCCCAUAUGCUCUUGCUACCCCGAUGACAAGAAUUGGUUUGAAGAUGGGGAAGAUGGAGGCAGAAGAGUUAAUUUCAUCAACUGCUGUUCUGAAAGAAGCAAUAUUGGAACCAGAAGAUAUUGCACAGGCAGCCUUGUACCUUGCGAGUGAGGAGUCCAAGUAUGUCAGUGGGAUCAACUUGGUGGUUGAUGGAGGCUAUGGUCUCACCAACCCCUCCUUUGGAAUGGCAAUGAAAAGCCUAUUUGCUUAAGAUAGCUGGUAUUUUAUCCAUGAAAUUCCAAAUAAUUAAGAUGGGCUCUUUUUGCUGUUUUUUUUCUUUAUAAAAAAAAAAAAAAA
RNAcentral lists this unclassified non-coding RNA (610 nucleotides) under Hevea brasiliensis (rubber tree). The record is from RNAcentral. Lineage: Eukaryota; Viridiplantae; Streptophyta; Magnoliopsida; Malpighiales; Euphorbiaceae.